GUUUAUUAAGUUGGGGGUGAAAUCUCCGGGCUCAACCCGGAGCUCGUUCUCAAAACUGGUAGACUUGAGUAAGGUAGAGGCUGACGGAAUUCUGCAAGUAGGGGUAAAAUCCGUUGAUCUGCAGAGGAACACCAAAAGCGAAGGCAGUCAGCUGGGCCUUUACUGACGCUGAGGGACGAAAGCGUGGGUAGCGAACGGGAUUAGAUACCCCGGUAGUCCACGCCGUAAAUGAUGGAUACUGGACAUUGGUACUCGAUCGUAUCAGUGUCUCAAGCUAACGCAUUAAGUAUCCCGCCUGGGGAGUACGGUCGCAAGAUUAAAACUCAAAGGAAUAGACGGGGACCCACACAAGCGGUGGAGCAUGUGGUUUAAUUCGACAAUAAGCGAGGAACCUUACCAGGGCUUGACAUCCCGAGAAUUCUUUAGAAAUAGAGAAGUGCCUUUAUGGAACUCGGUGACAGGUGCUGCAUGGUUGUCGUCAGCUCGUGCCUUGAGGUGUUCGGUUAAGUCCGUAAACGAGCGCAACCCUAGUCCUAUGUUGUAUAUUUCAUAGGAGACUGCCUUGUCCAACGAGGAGGAAGGUUAGGAUGACGUCAAAUCAGCAUGGCCCUUAUGUCCUGGGCGACACACGUGCUACAAUGGUCGGUACAAUGGGUAGCCAACCCGCGAGGGGGAGCCAAUCCCAUCAAAGCCGGUCCAAGUUCGGAUUGGAGGCU
Molecule: ribosomal RNA, 716 nt
Filed under: uncultured Microgenomates group bacterium
Lineage: Bacteria
Description: bacterial SSU rRNA
Rfam family: Bacterial small subunit ribosomal RNA
Source: RNAcentral